Molecule: RNA transcript, 1195 nt
Organism: Alnus glutinosa
Lineage: Eukaryota; Viridiplantae; Streptophyta; Magnoliopsida; Fagales; Betulaceae
Exons: 6
Source: RefSeq, a predicted model, not a curated record
AAAAAAAUCGUGAGUUCUCUCUCUAAAUUUUUAUUUAUCUUUCCCUCCUCUCUUCUGAAAACUCUCUUUGUACUCUCCCUCUCUGCACAAAGAUGGCCGGCGAGCACCUCACCACCGGUGGUGACGAAUGAGAGAAAGGCAAAUCAGUUUCAGGGAAUCCGAAUAGAUAAGCCGUAUACUUUGAAAGUGCAUCGAGUAUUCACUGGCUUUGGUAUCGGCGUUGGCGGCCCGAUAAAUCUAGAUGGAUGAGACCAUGAAGCAAUUCCAGGAGAGCCUAAUUGAGCUUGAAACUGACGCGGAGCAUCUUCUAUUAGCCCGGCAUCAGCUGGUUGAAAAUGAUAGAGUGAGAAAUGGGACCAGGGAAGCACUUACUGCACUGAGGAAGAAGGCUCGAACAACAAAGACUAGUGUUCAGUCUCCGUUUGAAUCAAUUAUGAAGGAAAUUGGGGGGCCUGAACAUCGGCCAUUGGUGAAGGAUGUAUGUGCCACAUGUGGCAACCAUGACUUCAAUGAGCGCACAUGGAUGAUGUUCCCGGGGACUGAUGUGUUUGCUAGGAUUCCGUUUCAUGCUGCUCACACGAUCUUGGAGACAGUGGAACCUCAUCAAAGCAGGGCCCUUUGGACCUACCCCUGGGGAGUAAACUCCAGAUACACGACACCACCCGCUAGAACCGUGUAUGAGAUCAAGCACGACUUGAGUUUGAUGCCAAGCAACUACAGAGCAAUGUGAAGGAGAAGGCCCUUUUGAUUUCAGAAAAAGGUGCCCUUGCUGACAAGAUCAGCCCAGGUGUACUCAAAUCCCUCGUAAGCCUAUCAGACAAACCACAGAAUUAAGGUGGCCGGCUCUGUAUAAGGAGGAUAUUUGCAAUCACAUAAUUCUUUAUUAUGACUUUAGUAAGUGCUUUUUAUGGCACAUAUAGAAAACCACCGACUAUUUAAAUUACGUCACGAAAAUUUUUAGCAUAUUUUGACCUUAGGCUUUCGUAAAAUAUUUUUCUCCCGGCAUGCAUGGUAGUAUGAUUUACAAGUGUUCUGGAUUCUCAAAUAGGUAUUCUUUUGCGCCUCUGAGGCCUUAAGGUUAACAUACCGGGCCCUUUCGAGCCUAAAGUGUUAUUUUUUACCUCCUAUACUUAAAUGUGAUGUAUGCUUCUAGGGUCUCACGUACAUAUUAGCUUUUGACUUGCCUCUUUUUUCA